This is a long non-coding RNA of Arabidopsis thaliana (thale cress), 275 nucleotides long. RefSeq annotates it as other RNA. The transcript has a single exon. NCBI's taxonomy places the organism in Eukaryota, Viridiplantae, Streptophyta, Magnoliopsida, Brassicales, Brassicaceae. The record is from RefSeq.
ACUCGGGGAUGCAGACACAAACGAACGUAGUCAUAUCCUACGUAAUGGAGCCAAAUGUGUCAAUUUCUUAUCUUAAAAUGCAGAGUUUGUUAGAUAUGUAUCAGAAUUUUCACUAAUGCAAAUGAAUGCUGUCAAACCGUAUGCUACAGAACAAUGUGAAGAAUCUAAAACUAAACUUCACGAACAGAGUUAAGAAAACAGUCAAUGAGUACUGAAAAUAGCAAAGAACUUAAACAAUUGAAAAAAUGUUACCGGGUCUUUGAAUUGCCGAUUUA